GCCAGGUGUGGUGGCUCACACCUGUAAUCCCUGCUCUUUAGGAGGCUGAGGCAGGUGGAUCACCUGAGGACAGGAGUUUUAGACCAGCCUGGCCAAGAUGGUGAAACUCUGCCUCUA
This 117-nucleotide non-coding RNA is filed under the name Nomascus leucogenys (northern white-cheeked gibbon). Lineage: Eukaryota; Metazoa; Chordata; Mammalia; Primates; Hylobatidae. The record is from Rfam by way of RNAcentral.